UCCCUGGUGGUCUGGUGGUAAGGACUCAGCACUUUCACCGCUGUGGUUCGGAUUCAAUCCCUGGUCUGGGAA
Molecule: transfer RNA, 72 nt
Filed under: Sus scrofa (pig)
Lineage: Eukaryota; Metazoa; Chordata; Mammalia; Artiodactyla; Suidae
Rfam family: tRNA
About the family: Transfer RNA (tRNA) molecules are approximately 80 nucleotides in length. Their secondary structure includes four short double-helical elements and three loops (D, anti-codon, and T loops).
Source: Rfam by way of RNAcentral